RNAcentral lists this unclassified non-coding RNA (400 nucleotides) under fungal sp. Its description in RNAcentral is "partial internal transcribed spacer region". The stretch from base 1 to 46 matches the Rfam family "Eukaryotic small subunit ribosomal RNA", at positions 1786 to 1831 of the family's 1831-position model. The record is from RNAcentral. Lineage: Eukaryota; Fungi.
AAGUCGUAACAAGGUCUCCGUAGGUGAACCUGCGGAGGGAUCAUUAACACUAUUUGGCUUGUUCACGCAAGUUCAAAUUUCCACACACAUUGCGAACUUGUUGGUUUCUCUUCUCGUCAAACAGAAGAGAGACUGACCUAACAAAACUGUCUCGAGGGUAAGGUUGCCGACGCGACGCAGUGAACGACCCUGCAUUCUUUUUGGAGUGUAGGAUUCGUAGCUCCGCUUCCGUCCCUCGACGUGGUUCAUUUUGGGAGAUAUCACACUGCAAGAUAUCUCGGCCCCCUUUGCCAUCACCUUUAAACCAAUCGACUAAUUUUCAAAAGAUUAACGGAAACGUUUGAUCUUUUUAAAUAUCUAAAACUAAGCACAACUCUUAGCAACGGAUAUCUUGGUUCUC